This 92-nucleotide transfer RNA is filed under the name Bacillota bacterium. RNAcentral describes it as "tRNA-Ser". It matches the Rfam family "tRNA". Rfam says of the family: Transfer RNA (tRNA) molecules are approximately 80 nucleotides in length. Their secondary structure includes four short double-helical elements and three loops (D, anti-codon, and T loops). Further hydrogen bonds mediate the characteristic L-shaped molecular structure. tRNAs have two regions of fundamental functional importance: the anti-codon, which is responsible for specific mRNA codon recognition, and the 3' end, to which the tRNAs corresponding amino acid is attached (by aminoacyl-tRNA synthetases). tRNAs cope with the degeneracy of the genetic code in two manners: having more than one tRNA (with a specific anti-codon) for a particular amino acid; and 'wobble' base-pairing, i.e. permitting non-standard base-pairing at the 3rd anti-codon position. The record is from RNAcentral. RNAcentral also lists the same sequence under 2 other names. Lineage: Bacteria; Bacillati; Bacillota.
GGAGAGAUGGCUGAGCUGGUCUAAGGCGCACGACUGGAAAUCGUGUGUACGUUUGAAGCGUACCGUGGGUUCGAAUCCCACUCUCUCCGCCA